ACAGUCGGAAAUGUGGAAGAUGCGCCAUGUGCAUCCCUUGAGAACAUGAGCUCAGCCAGUGGCAUGGCCCAAUUUAGCCCAAGUUGGGACAGUUAAGCCAAGACAUGUGGCCUGGAAAAAGGUGUUGAAGUGCGCAGGAAGCUGAGGCAAACAAAUAAAUAAACGAACGACAGCACUAGCAGCAGCAACCGAAUGCCACCCAAGAGACCCAUGGCCCUUUUAGAGCUUUCAUCCCACUCAGGUGUCAACACAUAUGGACGACGGCAGAUGUCAAUGUGAAGAUCCUAGAGAAAUGACGAAAAACAGCAGUAUAUUUAAAAUCUGCCUGUUGAGACCAAGUGGUAACUUUCCAAUUUGGUAAUCCAUGGCAAAAGGAUCUAAGAACUUUAAGCUCUACCAAGGGUGCUGUAAAUACACACAGAAAGAUGCACGUUGUGUCUAGAAAGGAAGCACAUUACCUGCCCCUUGCUUGAUGACAGGAGCGGAUGGAGGAGGCGGCUUCUUGGGUCUCUGAAAAAUUAAUCAAAAUGAUAACACAUGAGAUCGUUGGCAAGCCAACAAGAUCGUUGGCCUGUCACAUAAGGACCACAGACAUUGUUUUCUAGAUGUAGUUUGGACAGUCCAGAGGAGCUCUCCAAAAAUUGAGCAAGUCUCUCUCCGGGGAUGUCAAGUUUUGGCACCUUUAAACCAACACUAAAAUAAAUUCAGUCUGCAAAACAAAACUCUGAUGGACAAAUGAAAUACCAUUUCCCCCUUUCUAAAUUUGUAACAGCCUUCUGGAAAAGCACGGCUCAGCAAAAAUGGCCUGAAACCAGCAAGCACAAUGGUCCUCCUACGCUGAAACCGCAUUUGCAAUUAAGAUUUAAUCUGCUGAAUAACCAAGUGAUUCAGGAGAGUCACUAGGACAGCUCGAAAUCAGAUCUGCUCUGGACUGUGGGACCUUCAGCAAAAGCAGGCCAGGGGGCUUCCAUGGCUGGGAGUCUGUGCCUUCAACCUUCAGCUCCUCCUGACCCCGAGGCUGGCAGGCCAUUCAUGAGGCCCCCCCACAGACCAGUUGCACCCUAGAAAGUGGAAUGGAGCUUUUCUUGCAUAUCAGCUCCGAUUUGUUUUCCUCUCACAACCUGUCACUCUGUAGGUGACAAGGCAGCAAUGCAAUCAGUGGCAUCGGUCCCUGAACCCGUUCCAGGGCCUCUCCUUGCUCACUCACCCAGGACUGACUGUAGGAGGAAGAUGGUCAGGCUGGACUUGGUAAAUGACUCAGGGGUCAAGAGCCCAGCCAGGGCACAAUUCUUGGAAACGAUUCUUGGAGAGGGGAACCAGAGGCAAAGAGAGAACCAUCUCAAUAUCAAAAUCAUUAAGGAGGGACGCCUGCGUGGCUCGGUGGUUGAGCAUCUGCCUUCAGACCAGGCCAUGAUCCCGGGGUCCUGGGAUCGAGUCCCACAUCGGGCUCCCUGCACGGAGCCUGCUUCUCCCUCUGCCUGUGUCUCUGCCUCUCUCUCUCUCUCUCUCUGUGUGUGUCUCUCAUGAAUAAAUAAAAAAAAAUCUUUAAAAAAAUCAUUAAGGAAAGAUGGAAAUAGGACAAGAAUACAAUCCAUGUUGCUGCUGAUGUUUCUCUUGACCCUCUCUGGGCAUCACACACCGAUGAUUUUUUUAAAAACAGCUUCACAGACUUUCUUGCACUCGGAAAAUGUACCACUAUGACAUUACCGCAAGGACCAGCCAAAGCACCCACCAGUCCCUGGCCCUGACCUGCUGGCAACUGCUCCAGUACUAGAGCACAUGAAGAAAUGAUUUCAAGUAAAAGCUGGAGAAUACGAGACUCAUAAAGAACUUUUUCAGGAGGCAUCCCAGCAUGUGGACUCUGGAUUCUGGGACAUGCCACCUCUGCUCUUCAGUAGCUGGGUGACAUGGCGAAGUUACCUUGAAUAAGUAGUGUAGCAUCGUGGCUGUGAGGUGGGGCUUCUGAGACUGAUGGAUUACAAAUGCUGGCUCCUUCGAUUCUUGGCCGUGGACACUGGGCAAGUGAACUGAUCUAGCUAAGCCUCCUCACUUGUAAAAUGGCAAUGGUAUUACCUCCCUCUUGAGAGGAGGUGGAGUCAGUAAGCACUGCCCUGUUGAAUCUUUGUGACAAUCAUGUAAGUAGUGAUGUUACUAUGCCCAUUUUGCAGAUGAAGUGAUUGAGCCUCAAAGAGAUGAAGCCAUUUCUCAAAGUCACGAGGAUGGGGGGCUGGGAGCCCAGCCCCAUGCUGUCUGACCCACAGGCGUGCUCUUAACCACUGUGAAGGACCCGCCUUGCCAGAGAGCAUCCACAAGACGGACCACCACAUGGCCAUAUACCACACAGAGAGUGUACAUAAGCACAGGGAACUGUAUCAUGUGUAAGUUGGGGGGAAAAAAGGGUAUCAAAUUGCAGCUACAGUAUGAGCUCAAAUCAACUAUGUUACAAAAUAUACAGAAAGAAAAAAAUUGGAAAGGAAAAAAAUAAAAUAAAAUAAAUAAAAAUAAAAAAAAAGAA
This is a long non-coding RNA of Canis lupus familiaris (dog), 2515 nucleotides long. RefSeq lists it as uncharacterized. Lineage: Eukaryota; Metazoa; Chordata; Mammalia; Carnivora; Canidae. The record is from RefSeq and is a predicted model, not a curated record. The transcript has 3 exons.